GGGGUUAUGGCUACCACAGGAAAGAAGCGGAAACACCCGGAAAGUAUGACCCAUUGCAUGGCAUGCAAGAGGUCAGCGGUUCGAUCCCGCUUAGCUCCACCA
Molecule: transfer RNA, 102 nt
Filed under: Rhizobium laguerreae
Lineage: Bacteria; Pseudomonadati; Pseudomonadota; Alphaproteobacteria; Hyphomicrobiales; Rhizobiaceae
Also listed under: 1 other name
Description: tRNA-Ala
Source: RNAcentral